CUGCGGAAGGAUCAUUAUUGAAUGAAACUUCUGGCUGGAUGCUGUUGUGCUGGCCCUUUGUGGCAAUGUGCACGCAUGCUUUCUGGUCAUUUGUUUCUUCUGUUCCACCUGUGCACUGACUGUAGACACAGUGUGUCUAUGAUAAUUGGUUACACACACACACAAUGUUAUGUUGGCAUAUAUAUAUAUUAAUUAUAUAAAUACAACUUUCAACAAUGGAUCUCUUGGCUCUCGCAUCGAUGAAGAACACAGCGAAAUGUGAUAAGUAAUGUGAAUUGCAGAAUCCAGUGAAUCAUCGAAUCUUUGAACGCAUCUUGCGCUCCUUGGCAUUCCGAGGAGCAUGCCUGUUUGAGUGUCAKUAAACUAUCAAAACACUUUUUUUCAAGUAAGAAAAGUGUUUUGGACUUUGGGAGUAUUGUGCUGGUCUGUGUGAGCCAGCUCUCCUCAAAAGCAUUAGCUUUGGAGACCAUCAGUGUGAUAAUUUGUUUACACUGGCUUCUCCUUUUAAAUGCAACCUUUGACCUCAAAUCAGGUAGGACUACCCGCUGAACUUAAGCAUAUCAAUAAGCGGAGGAAAAGAAACUAACAAGGAUUCCCCUAGUAACUGCGAGUGAAGCGGGAAAAGCUCAAAUUUGAAAUCUGGCAGUCUUUUUUUUCUUCUUUGGCUGUCCGAGU
Molecule: ribosomal RNA, 675 nt
Filed under: Amanita aff. vaginata LE 296450
Lineage: Eukaryota; Fungi; Basidiomycota; Agaricomycetes; Agaricales; Amanitaceae
Description: eukaryotic LSU rRNA
Source: RNAcentral